UCCCUGAUAGCUCAGCUGGUAAAGAAUCUGCCUGUAAUGCAGGAAGCCCUGGUUUGAUACCUGGGUUGGGAA
Molecule: transfer RNA, 72 nt
Organism: Ovis aries (sheep)
Lineage: Eukaryota; Metazoa; Chordata; Mammalia; Artiodactyla; Bovidae
Rfam family: tRNA
About the family: Transfer RNA (tRNA) molecules are approximately 80 nucleotides in length.
Source: Rfam